UACGUAGGGUCCGAGCGUUGUCCGGAAUUAUUGGGCGUAAAGGGCGCGUAGGCGGCCUCGCAAGUCCCGUGUGAAAUCCCUCGGCUCAACUGAGGAAUGGCACGGGGAAACUGCGGGGGCUUGAGUUCGGGAGAGGGAAGCGGAAUUCCGGGUGUAGCGGUGAAAUGCGUAGAUAUCCGGAGGAACACCGGGUGGCGAAGGCGGCUCCUGGACCGAUACUGACGCUGAGGCGCGAAAAGCUAGGGGAGCAAACGGG
RNAcentral lists this ribosomal RNA (256 nucleotides) under uncultured bacterium. RNAcentral's name for it is "partial 16S ribosomal RNA". It matches the Rfam family "Bacterial small subunit ribosomal RNA", at positions 524 to 776 of the family's 1533-position model. The record is from RNAcentral.